RNAcentral lists this non-coding RNA (98 nucleotides) under Streptomyces bungoensis. Its description in RNAcentral is "Glycine sequence". It matches the Rfam family "Glycine riboswitch aptamer". From Rfam's summary of the family: This family represents the bacterial glycine riboswitch. Glycine riboswitches usually consist of two metabolite-binding aptamers domains with similar structures in tandem. The record is from Rfam by way of RNAcentral. Lineage: Bacteria; Bacillati; Actinomycetota; Actinomycetes; Kitasatosporales; Streptomycetaceae.
UGAAUCCGCGCGGGAGAGUCCCCGGCCAUGGUCGUCGGGGCGCCGAAGGAGCAAGUCCCUCCCUUGAAUCUCUCAGGCCCCGUUACCGCGCGGGCGAG